Molecule: ribosomal RNA, 420 nt
Filed under: bacterium
Lineage: Bacteria
Description: partial 16S ribosomal RNA
Rfam family: Bacterial small subunit ribosomal RNA
Source: RNAcentral
UGGGGGAUAUUGCACAAUGGGCGAAAGCCUGAUGCAGCGACGCCGCGUGGGGGAUGAAGGCUCUCGGGUUGUAAACCUCUUUCGCUAUCGAACAAGGCCCGCUUAGGGUGGGUUGAGGGUAGGUGGAGAAGAAGCGCCGGCUAACUACGUGCCAGCAGCCGCGGUAAUACGUAGGGCGCGAGCGUUGUCCGGAAUUAUUUGGCGUAAAGGGCUUGUAGGCGGCCUGUUGCGCCUGCUGUGAAAACGCAGGGCUUAACUUCGCGCGUGCAGUGGGUGCGGGCAGGCUUGAAUGUGAUAGAGGUGACUGGAAUUCCAAGUGUAGCGGUGGAAUGCGCAGAUAUCUGGAGGAACACCGAUGGCGAAGGCAGGGCACUGGGCCAUUACUGACGCUGAGGAGCGAAAGCAUGGGUAGCGAACAGG